Molecule: long non-coding RNA, 534 nt
Filed under: Elaeis guineensis (African oil palm)
Lineage: Eukaryota; Viridiplantae; Streptophyta; Magnoliopsida; Arecales; Arecaceae
Description: long non-coding RNA (EGUI_LNC077840)
Source: RNAcentral
CUGGAGUUUCUUCCCCGGGAGUGACCUCUGCAGGCUCAGUAGGAUGUUCUUGUUGUGGUGCAUCAUCAUCCGAUGAGGGUGGAGCAUUUUCUUGUUGUAUAGCUGGCUCCCAAGUAUUAGAGCCAUCCGCAAAAUGAGUAGGUCUCCGAUUUCGCCCACGCUCAGUCCCUCUUGCCAUGUCAACCUACACAGUUUCACUUUAGUCAAGAAUUUAAGAAUAAUAUUUCAUAUUAGUCAAUUUCCAUCUAAAAGUCUACCCAUAUAUUCUCUCUCUGAAAUGAACCUCAAGAUUCCUAACCUAGGCUCUGAUACCACUCUGUCACGCCCCAAACCCAGCACCUGAGUUGGGCACGAGACACGGCCACACAACCCUAGAGCAAUGCCCUGAGGAUCAUGUAAGGCCUAAAAAUUUAACACUUCAAAAUUUUAAGUAACCAAUUAAAUACCAAAUCAAUCAACCGAGUCACAACUUCAAAUCGAAUGUAAACUUGUUCAAUACAAUUAUUCAAAUGUUCAUUGGUAUCAGAGAAUUUA